Molecule: ribosomal RNA, 422 nt
Filed under: uncultured bacterium
Lineage: Bacteria
Description: bacterial SSU rRNA
Rfam family: Bacterial small subunit ribosomal RNA
Source: RNAcentral
UAUUGGACAAUGGGGGGAACCCUGAUCCAGCAAUACCGCGUGUGUGAAGAAGGCCUGAGGGUUGUAAAGCACUUUCAGUGGGGAGGAGGUUUGUCAGGUUAAGAGCCAGACAAAUGGACGUUACCCACAGAAGAAGCACCGGCUAACUCCGUGCCAGCAGCCGCGGUAAUACGGAGGGUGCGAGCGUUAAUCGGAAUUACUGGGCGUAAAGAGUGCGUAGGUGGUUAAUUAAGUUAUCUGUGAAAUCCCUGGGCUCAACCUGGGCAGGUCAGAUAAUACUGGUUAACUCGAGUAUGGGAGAGGGUAGUGGAAUUUCCGGUGUAGCGGUGAAAUGCGUAGAGAUCGGAAGGAACACCAGUGGCGAAGGCGGCUACCUGGCCUAAUACUGACACUGAGGCACGAAAGCGUGGGGAGCAAACAGG